UAGGGAAUCUUCCACAAUGGGCGAAAGCCUGAUGGAGCAACGCCGUGUGUGUGAUGAAGGGUUUCGGCUCGUAAAACACUGUUGUAAGAGAAGAAUGACAUUGAGAGUAACUGUUCAAUGUGUGACGGUAUCUUACCAGAAAGGAACGGCUAAAUACGUACCAG
This 164-nucleotide ribosomal RNA is filed under the name uncultured bacterium. RNAcentral's name for it is "partial 16S rRNA". It matches the Rfam family "Bacterial small subunit ribosomal RNA", at positions 355 to 511 of the family's 1533-position model. The record is from RNAcentral.